This 376-nucleotide ribosomal RNA is filed under the name uncultured bacterium. RNAcentral's name for it is "bacterial SSU rRNA". It matches the Rfam family "Bacterial small subunit ribosomal RNA", at positions 524 to 898 of the family's 1533-position model. The record is from RNAcentral.
UACGUAGGUGGCGAGCGUUGUCCGGAAUUACUGGGUGUAAAGGGUGCGUAGGCGGGUAAUAAAGUCAGAUGUGAAAUGCCGGGGCUCAACUCCGGAGGUGCAUUUGAAACUUAUUAUCUUGAGUGAAGUAGAGGCAAGUGGAAUUCCCAGUGUAGCGGUGAAAUGCGUAGAUAUUGGGAGGAACACCAGUGGCGAAGGCGAUUUGCUGGGCUUUAACUGACGCUGAUGCACGAAAGCAUGGGGAGCAAACAGGAUUAGAUACCCUGGUAGUCCAUGCCGUAAACGAUGGAUACUAGGUGUGGGAGGUAUUGACCCCUUCCGUGCCGGAGUUAACACAAUAAGUAUCCCACCUGGGGAGUACGACCGCAAGGUUAAA